UACAGAGGGGGCAAGCGUUAUUCGGAAUUAUUGGGCGUAAAGGGCGCGUAGGCGGCUUUGCAAGUGACGGGUGAAAUCCCUCGGCUUAACCGAGGAACUGCCUGUCAGACUGUGAGGCUUGAGACCGGGAGAGGUGAGUGGAAUUCCCGGUGUAGCGGUGAAAUGCGCAGAUAUCGGGAAGAACACCCAUGGCGAAGGCAGCUCUCUGGGACGGUACUGACGCUGAGACGCGAAAGCGUGGGGAGCGAACAGG
RNAcentral lists this ribosomal RNA (253 nucleotides) under uncultured bacterium. Its description in RNAcentral is "partial 16S ribosomal RNA". It matches the Rfam family "Bacterial small subunit ribosomal RNA", at positions 524 to 776 of the family's 1533-position model. The record is from RNAcentral.